RNAcentral lists this ribosomal RNA (253 nucleotides) under uncultured prokaryote. RNAcentral describes it as "partial 16S ribosomal RNA". It matches the Rfam family "Bacterial small subunit ribosomal RNA", at positions 525 to 777 of the family's 1533-position model. The record is from RNAcentral.
ACGUAGGGUGCGAGCGUUAAUCGGAAUUAUUGGGCGUAAAGCGUGCGCAGGCGGUUCGUGAUGUCUGGUGUGAAAGCCCCGGGCUUAACCUGGGAAUUGCAUUGGAAACUAGCGGGCUGGAGUGUGGCAGAGGGGGGUGGAAUUCCGCGUGUAGCAGUGAAAUGCGUAGAGAUGCGGAGGAACACCGAUGGUGAAGGCAGCCCCCUGGGCUGACACUGACGCUCAGGCACGAAAGCGUGGGGAGCAAACAGGA